CCGAGUGUUUAAGACGGACAUAGAGCUGGAGGUUCUGCACUACACCAAUAAAAUCUCCAGUGAGACCCACUGUGAGAUUGAUUUCUAUAAUUAUAUGGAAGCAUGUGAAAACCCUACCAUUUCCAAGGAUCUGACCAACAAUUACAGCAGGAAAUGUGGUCAUCUAAUUUAACUCUUAAACAUCAUCAGCAAGACUAAAAGCUUGGAUGCAUCCCAAUUAUCCCCACAAAUUAAUGGUCAGACAUUCUGGAUUUUCAUGGUUUUGGCUUCAGAAAAUUCUAAGUCUAGAAAGCAGCUGUUUCUAUGGGUAUCCCAAAGAAGAAAACUGCUACAUGAAACAAGAGCAAACUGUGGUCUCAUCUGCACAUUUGCAGAGUAGCAUCAGAUCCAUGGAGAUGCUGCUCACUGAAAAAGUAACACCCAUUGUGUUGGACCUCACCUACGUGACCUUUCCGGGGCAUAGUCUGGAAGGACAUGGAAAAUUAAAAGAGAAGUUAAACACUGCACAAUUAAGUGAGAAGAACUUUGAAUCUCAAUGAAUAACUCAGGCAAGACAAUAGGAAGAGAAUGGAGAUAAGGAGAAGGUAUGAGCUACAAGAAGGAAGGUCAGCCCUCCGCCAAACCAGCAAGAUAUUCCCUGUGGUGAAGAAUGGCUGAUGAAUUUCAGCACAAAGCUAUCUAAUGUUCAGUUUCAAGUUGCUAUCUACAUGAUGCUAUGCCAUCAUCCCUCCAUUACUGCAAAGCUUCAGUAAAAGAGAGAAAGAAAGUUAACAGCAGAAAUGAGGAGCAAUAUUUAGGAAGCAUAACGGGGCAUAAAGACAUGUAAACUCUACAAAAUUACACAGUUCUGGAAUAUAAAGGAGAGAAGGCUGAAAAGUGAAGGGUGCAACCUAAGACUCUGACCAGUGACUAGGAGUUUUCCAGAGGAGGAAGAACGGGAAAGGCAUUUCAGGAAAAGGCCAGCAUGAACACGCAUAUGAAGCUGCACGCAGGUGCAGAAAAAGGGAGUGGCAGCCUAUUUUUUCUGACUGUAAAAUGGACUACAAGAGAAAAUUCCUGCUCAGAGGGUGCCCUCUCUUGGUAAGCGUGCACAUGCAGUGUUUCUCUCC
RNAcentral lists this long non-coding RNA (1109 nucleotides) under Homo sapiens (human). RNAcentral describes it as "HSALNT0390707". The record is from RNAcentral. Lineage: Eukaryota; Metazoa; Chordata; Mammalia; Primates; Hominidae.